This 336-nucleotide ribosomal RNA is filed under the name Clostridioides difficile. RNAcentral describes it as "bacterial LSU rRNA". It matches the Rfam family "Bacterial large subunit ribosomal RNA", at positions 2467 to 2802 of the family's 2925-position model. Lineage: Bacteria; Bacillati; Bacillota; Clostridia; Peptostreptococcales; Peptostreptococcaceae. The record is from RNAcentral.
CCUGGGGAUAACAGGCUUAUCGCCCCCAAGAGUCCACAUCGACGGGGAGGUUUGGAACCUCGAUGUCGGCUCAUCACAUCCUGGGGCUGUAGUAGGUCCCAAGGGUUGGGCUGUUCGCCCAUUAAAGUGGUACGCGAGCUGGGUUCAGAACGUCGUGAGACAGUUCGGUCCCUAUCCGUCGCAGGCGUAGGAAAUUUGAGAAGACCUGGCCUUAGUACGAGAGGACCGGGAUGGACGUACCUCUGGUGUACCAGUUGUUCUGCCAAGGGCAUGGCUGGGUAGCUAUGUACGGAAUGGAUAAGCGCUGAAAGCAUCUAAGCGCGAAGCCAACUUCAA